GACGAACGCUGGCGGCGUGCCUAAUACAUGCAAGUAGAACGCUGAAGGAGGAGCUUGCUCUUCUGGACGAGUUGCGAACGGGUGAGUAACGCGUAGGUAACCUGCCUGGUAGCGGGGGAUAACUAUUGGAAACGAUAGCUAAUACCGCAUAACAGUAGAUGUUGCAUGACAUUUGCUUAAAAGGUGCAAUUGCACCACUACCAGAUGGACCUGCGUUGUAUUAGCUAGUUGGUGGGGUAACGGCUCACCAAGGCGACGAUACAUAGCCGACCUGAGAGGGUGAUCGGCCACACUGGGACUGGGAAACGGCCCAGACUUCUACGGGAGGCAGCAGGAGGGAAUCUUCGGCAAUGGACGGAAGUCUGACCGAGCAACGCCGGGUGAGUGAAGAAGGUUUUCGGAUCGUAAAGCUCUGUUGUAAGAGAAGAAAGAGUGUGAGAGUGGAAAGUUCACACUGUGACGGUAUCUUACCAGAAAGGGACGGCUAACUACGUG
Molecule: ribosomal RNA, 495 nt
Filed under: uncultured bacterium
Lineage: Bacteria
Description: partial 16S ribosomal RNA
Rfam family: Bacterial small subunit ribosomal RNA
Source: RNAcentral